AUGGGACGGCAGUGGUCCGCCGGCAAGCUCGUUCUGAUCCUGGACGCAGUACAUUGGAAUCCUGAAGCACCACCACGAACGCUACCGCACAUGCGCCUGUGGUGCGGUAAGGCACCACCCUGUUGUGCCAGCAGCCAACUCCGGCGUGUCAGCUUAGUUAUCCUCAUCAAGCCACAACCUUGA
Molecule: ribosomal RNA, 183 nt
Filed under: Triticum aestivum (bread wheat)
Lineage: Eukaryota; Viridiplantae; Streptophyta; Magnoliopsida; Poales; Poaceae
Description: partial small subunit ribosomal RNA
Source: RNAcentral